Molecule: ribosomal RNA, 838 nt
Filed under: uncultured bacterium
Lineage: Bacteria
Description: bacterial SSU rRNA
Rfam family: Bacterial small subunit ribosomal RNA
Source: RNAcentral
UUAAAGGGCUUGUAGGCGGUUCGUCGCGUCGGGAGUGAAAACUCAGGGCUUAACCUGAGCCUGCUUUUGAUACGGGCGGACUAGAGGGAUGCAGGGGAGAACGGAAUUCCUGGUGGAGCGGGUGGAAUGCGCAGAUAUCAGGAGGAACACCGGUGGCGAAGGCGGUUCUCUGGGCAUUUCCUGACGCUGAGAAGCGAAAGCGUGGGGAGCAAACAGGCUUAGAUACCCUGGUAGUCCACGCCGUAAACGGUGGGCACUAGGUGUGGGGGACAUUCCACGUUCUCCGUGCCGAAGCUAACGCAUUAAGUGCCCCGCCUGGGGAGUACGGCCGCAAGGCUAAAACUCAAAGGAAUUGACGGGGGCCCGCACAAGCGGCGGAGCAUGCGGAUUAAUUCGAUGCAACGCGAAGAACCUUACCUGGGUUUGACAUAGGCCGGAAAGCUGCAGAGAUGCAGUCCCCGUAAGGUCGGUUCACAGGUGGUGCAUGGCUGUCGUCAGCUCGUGUCGUGAGAUGUUGGGUUAAGUCCCGCAACGAGCGCAACCCUCGUUCUAUGUUGCCAGCACGUGAUGGUGGGGACUCAUAGGAGACUGCCGGGGUCAACUCGGAGGAAGGUGGGGAUGACGUCAAGUCAUCAUGCCCCUUAAGUCCAGGGCUUCACGCAUGCUACAAUGGCUGGUACGAAGGGCUGCGAUACCGCAAGGUGGAGCGAAUCCCAAAAAGCCAGUCUCAGUUCGGAUUGGGGUCUGCAACUCGACCCCAUGAAGUCGGAGUCGCUAGUAAUCGCAGAUCAGCAACGCUGCGGUGAAUACGUUCCCGGCCUUGCACACACCGCCCGUC